GCGCCAGCGAUGGCCGGUUGCGAGGUGCUGCAUGGUUGUCGUCAGCUCGUGCCGUGAGGUGUCGGGCUAAGUCCCAUAACGAGCGCAACCCCUACUGCUAGUUGCCAGCGGGUCAUGCCGGGGACUCUAGCGGAACUGCCAGCGUAAGCUGCGAGGAAGUGGGGAUGACGUCAAAUCAGCACGGCCCUUACGUCCAGGGCUACACACGUGUUACAAUGGCCAGUACAGAGGGCAGCCACCCCGCGAGGGGGCGCUAAUCCUAAAAGCUGGUCCCAGUUCGGAUCGGAGUCUGCAACCCGACUCCGUGAAGCUGGAUUCGCUAGUAAUCGCGCAUCAGCCACGGCGCGGUGAAUACGUUCCCGGGCCUU
RNAcentral lists this ribosomal RNA (368 nucleotides) under uncultured Rikenellaceae bacterium. Its description in RNAcentral is "bacterial SSU rRNA". It matches the Rfam family "Bacterial small subunit ribosomal RNA", at positions 1013 to 1382 of the family's 1533-position model. The record is from RNAcentral. Lineage: Bacteria; Pseudomonadati; Bacteroidota; Bacteroidia; Bacteroidales; Rikenellaceae.